This 237-nucleotide unclassified non-coding RNA is filed under the name Hevea brasiliensis (rubber tree). The record is from RNAcentral. Lineage: Eukaryota; Viridiplantae; Streptophyta; Magnoliopsida; Malpighiales; Euphorbiaceae.
GGUUACUUGGCCAUUUGCACCCCUUUUUAUUUCUCUUUAAUUCCAACAAUUCUUCACCUAAAAAGAAAUAAAUAAAAAAUAAAAACACACACAAAAUUGUCUUUUAAUUUACCUCCUCCUUAAAUGAAACUUUCAUAUGUUAUACUUUAAUGAAAUUCAUACAAGGUUUAUACAUCAUCAUCCAAUACCAUAGUACAUUCUCUAGUGUAUUCCUCUACAUUUUUCUUAUUCUUUGGA